UACAGGGGGGGCAAGCGUUGUUCGGAAUUACUGGGCGUAAAGGGUUCGUAGGUGGCUACCUAAGUCAGACGUGAAAUCCCUCAGCUUAACUGGGGAACUGCGUCUGAUACUGGGUGGCUUGAGUGCAGGAGAGGAAUGCGGAAUUCCAGGUGUAGCGGUGAAAUGCGUAGAUAUCUGGAGGAACACCGGUGGCGAAGGCGGCAUCCUGGACCGGCAUUGACGCUGAGGCGCGAAAGCCAGGGGAGCGAACGGG
RNAcentral lists this ribosomal RNA (253 nucleotides) under uncultured prokaryote. RNAcentral's name for it is "partial 16S ribosomal RNA". It matches the Rfam family "Bacterial small subunit ribosomal RNA", at positions 524 to 776 of the family's 1533-position model. The record is from RNAcentral.